This 490-nucleotide ribosomal RNA is filed under the name uncultured bacterium. Its description in RNAcentral is "partial 16S ribosomal RNA". It matches the Rfam family "Bacterial small subunit ribosomal RNA", at positions 29 to 507 of the family's 1533-position model. The record is from RNAcentral.
AGUGAACGCUGGCGGUAGGCCUAACACAUGCAAGUCGAACGGCAGCACAGGAGAGCUUGCUCUCUAGGUGGCGAGUGGCGGACGGGUGAGGAAUACGUCGGAAUCUGCCCAGUCGUGGGGGAUAACGUAGGGAAACUUACGCUAAUACCGCAUACGACCUUCGGGUGAAAGAGGGGGAUCGCAAGACCUCUCGCGAUUGGAUGAGCCGAUGUCGGAUUAGCUAGUUAGCGGGGUAAUGGCCCACCAAGGCGACGAUCCGUAGCUGGUCUGAGAGGAUGAUCAGCCACACUGGAACUGAGACACGGUCCAGACUCCUACGGGAGGCAGCAGUGGGGAAUAUUGGACAAUGGGCGCAAGCCUGAUCCAGCCAUACCGCGUGGGUGAAGAAGGCCUUCGGGUUGUAAAGCCCUUUUGUUGGGAAAGAAAUCUUUCAGGCUAAUACCCUGGGAGGAUGACGGUACCCAAAGAAUAAGCGCCGGCUAACUUCGUG